CCUACGGGAUGCAGCCGUGAGGAAUAUUUGUCAAUGGACGAGCGUCUGAACCAGCCAAGUAGCGUGAAGGAUGACUGCCCUAUGGGUUGUAAACUUCUUUUAUAUGGGAAUAAAACGUUCCACGUGUGGGAUUUUGUAUGUACCAUAUGACUAAGGAUCGGCAAACUCCGUGCCAGCAGCCGCGGUAAUACGUAGGAUCCGAGCGUUAUCCGGAUUUAUUGGGUUUAAAGGGAGCGUAGGUGGAUUGUUAAGUCAGUUGUGAAAGUUUGCGGCUCAACCGUAACAUUGCAGUUGAAACUGGCAGUCUUGAGUACAGUAGAGGUGGGCGGAAUUCGUGGUGUAGCGGUGAAAUGCUUAGAUAUCACGAAGAACUCCGAUUGCGAAGGCAGUUCACUGGACUGCAACUGACACUGAGGCUCGAAAGUGUGGGUAUCAAACAGGAUUAGAUACCCGGGUAGUC
This 460-nucleotide ribosomal RNA is filed under the name uncultured bacterium. Its description in RNAcentral is "partial 16S ribosomal RNA". It matches the Rfam family "Bacterial small subunit ribosomal RNA", at positions 338 to 795 of the family's 1533-position model. The record is from RNAcentral.